Molecule: long non-coding RNA, 1329 nt
Organism: Gadus chalcogrammus (walleye pollock)
Lineage: Eukaryota; Metazoa; Chordata; Actinopteri; Gadiformes; Gadidae
Exons: 3
Source: RefSeq, a predicted model, not a curated record
AGUAAACAUACCUAAUAUAUAUCUAUUUUUUUCCUAUUCACCUAUUUAUAUUUGAAUUACGGCAGCAGCAUUCUCGCUCAAUACUGGGCCAUUCUCAAAAAUUGCUGUCAUAAUUAGUCCCUUGUACAAAAUAACCCGAAAACAUGCUCCAUUUUGAAAAGUCCUGAAGUUUUCCUUUUUAAUUUUUUUUUUCUUUAUAACAUGUUGAAAGUUAUAAAUGAUAAUGCAUGUGUCCGGAUUAUACUCAACUGAGUUUUGGGGACGAAUCAAUUGUUCUGCUGAUUGCUGUAGAUACUAUGUACCAACAAAGAAGGUUUCUUCUAUUUCUCUUCUCUAUUACAGCAAUUUUCUACCAAAACAUUGAAUCUUCCUGGGAACAUGGGCCCCUCUUCUUUGUUUUGGCUUCUGCUGUGGAGUCCAAUUUUCCACUUAACAUUAUCAACUGAACUGAGAAAGUUUGUGCCACUGGCAAAUGAAACGUUCUGGAUUGGAGUACAAAUGUGUGUGGAGAGAGGUGGUCAUCUCGUGACUUUACAUAAUCGCUAUGAUCUCCAAUUGAUUAAGAAAUUAUUAAAUAAGGCAGGAGCGUCAGCCUAUCUUGGUCUUCAUGAAAAGGAACAUGCAAAUCGAAGCGAAUGGUCAAAUGGAGACGAAAUGACGAAGUGGACAACGGAAGCUAACAUAACCUAUGAACAGAAAUGUGUGGCGAUUCAAAACAAUGAAUGGAGAGAGCAGCCAUGCAAUGAAGCAAUGUAUUUCAUGUGCUACAAUGCAUGUAAGUAAUAUUAUUUGUGUUGCUAUGCUUUCUAGAGAAUAAAUUAGUUUAUACAAUUUAUCAUAAUCAUAUAUGUGUGUGUUUGGGGGGGGGGGUUGUAGCUGAAUACCUCAUUGAACAGAAGAAAGAUUGGUGUGAAGCCCGCCUGUACUGCAGGAAGCAUUUCACUGACCUGGUCAGCAUCAACAACAACACCCAGAACGAGAAGGCCCUCAGAAGAGGAGCCAACAGGGCCUUCUGGAUCGGACUGAAGCAUGAUAACUACGAGUGGGAAGACGGACAGUGCUCCACAUUCAGGGAGGGAAUUACCAUCAGCCAAGUAGGCUGCAAGGAAUGUGCUCAUCAGCUUGGAGAUAACAUUGUUUUAGACAAUUGCAUUAAUGGCAAAGGGAUUAUUUGCAUGCAAGGAGAUACCAGAAUCACCGUCCCCACUGACCCCCUAACCUGGGAAGAGGCCUACGACUACUGCAAGGAGAACCACGACGGACUUCUGUUCAUCAGGGAUCAAGAUGAGCAAUGCGAAGUCGAAAAAUGGCUCAGCGCGACUGGGGUUC